UCUUGGUCAUUUAGAGGAAGUAAAAGUCGUAACAAGGUUUCCGUAGGUGAACCUGCGGAAGGAUCAUUAGUGAAUUAAACAUGCUUGGUGUCUUCGCUUCGGCAAGGCCCUUGCUUUAACUCACAUCCCAACACCUGUGAACUGUAAGGCGCAUGACUAGGUUCGCCCAAGUCAUCGUCUGCCCUUUUUAACAAACAAUUAAUGUAACAAACGUAGUCUUAUUAUAACCUAAUAAAACUUUCAACAACGGAUCUCUUGGCUCUCGCAUCGAUGAAGAACGCAGCGAAAUGCGAUAAGUAAUGUGAAUUGCAGAAUUCAGUGAAUCAUCGAAUCUUUGAACGCACCUUGCGCUCUUUGGUAUCCCGAAGAGCAUGCCUGUUUGAGUGUCAUGAAAAUAUCAACCUUGACUUGGGUUUUGUGCUCUAGUCUCGGCUUGGAAUUGGGUGCUUGCCGCUUUUACGAGCGGCUCACCUUAAAUGUAUUAGCUGGAUCUGUCUUUGAGACUUGGUUUGACUUGGCGUAAUAAGUAUUUCGCUAAGGACAUUCUUCGGAGUGGCCUCGUUUCUAGGACGCUUGUCCGCUUUCCAAUACAAGUUCCACCUCGUGGACAUGACUUUUUAUUAUCUGGCCUCAAAUCAGGUAGGACUACCCGCUGAACUCAAGCAUAUCAAUAAGCGGAGGA
Molecule: ribosomal RNA, 682 nt
Filed under: uncultured fungus
Lineage: Eukaryota; Fungi
Description: eukaryotic LSU rRNA
Rfam family: 5.8S ribosomal RNA (bases 236-389)
Source: RNAcentral